Molecule: ribosomal RNA, 255 nt
Filed under: uncultured bacterium
Lineage: Bacteria
Description: partial 16S ribosomal RNA
Rfam family: Bacterial small subunit ribosomal RNA
Source: RNAcentral
UACGUAGGGUGCGAGCGUUGUCCGGAAUUACUGGGCGUAAAGGGCUCGUAGGCGGCCAACUAAGUCAUACGUGAAAUCCCUCGGCUUAACCGGGGAACUGCGUCUGAUACUGGAUGGCUUGAGUUCGGGAGAGGGAUGCGGAAUUCCAGGUGUAGCGGUGAAAUGCGUAGAUAUCUGGAGGAACACCGGUGGCGAAGGCGGCAUCCUGGACCGAUACUGACGCUGAGGAGCGAAAGCCAGGGGGAGCAAACGGGG